Molecule: long non-coding RNA, 1393 nt
Filed under: Phasianus colchicus (ring-necked pheasant)
Lineage: Eukaryota; Metazoa; Chordata; Aves; Galliformes; Phasianidae
Description: lncRNA (ENSPCLG00000012318.1)
Source: RNAcentral
GCUGUAGUGAAGGUAUUUGAUGCACACGAGAGUGUAGGCGAGGGUUAGAAAAGGGGACGAAAGGCGCCGGGGCCGGUUCCGGUGCCCGCCGCCGCCGAGUGAGGAAUGGAGGAGGGCGAGUGAUCGGUAAGUGGUGGGAUGGAGCGGAGCCGGGAGGGCCCCGUGCCCACCUCGCGUCUCGAACACGCGUGGAGCGACCGCCCCGGCUCUGCCGAGCCUCCCCUCGGGGGUGCGGAGCGGAAGGGAACGGGGCCGGGCACUGGCGAGGCCGAACCGAGCCGCUGCGGUUCCCCCUAGCCCUGCGCGGCGGCUCCGGGCCCGCGGGCGGCGGAGGAACGGGGGAGGCUGAGCCCUGGCCCUGCCGGUGCCCGGUGCGGCCCUUCCAGAACCGAAACCGCUCCCGGAGCCGCGGGGACACUCCGUGGUUCCCGUUCGUUCCCUCGGCGAAGCUUUUGGGGCCGCAGUCGUUGUGGGGUUUUUUGCCAUUUCGGGAAGGAGCUUUUCAGAGAGGAGAAAUCCCCGCGUCUCUCCCAUCAGCCCCAUCCAGCAGCAGCCACCGCAGGCAACGGGGGACAGGGAGCAGUGGGGACAGCGGAGAGACAACCCCAUGGCAGCACCCUCAGAAUCCGGGGGGAGAUGUGCCCUGCCAGGACCUGGUGCUGUGGGUUUGCAGCCACAAAUCUGGACAUGGCUCCAGGGGAGGGGAGGUGCAGCUGCACCCCAGUGUGACUCAGUCCUGGGACAGUACCCAUACUCCACCAGGGAUGCUCCAGAGCCUCCUGGAUGUGGAACAGGGAUUUGCUGACUGCAUCCCACAGACACAGUGCUGGAUCCCCAUGGGGGUGAGGACACAGCUGAGGAAACCACUGUGCUUCCCCAGGAUGGCCUGAUUGCAGCACACCCAACAAAGGCACAGCUCUCGGUGAGGACCUGGGGGCAGCAUCCACCUUUCUGCACAUUGGGAUGUGAUGUUUGUCCACACUGCCAGGAUGGGCUCCGAUCAGAGGGUUGGUGCAGUGGUGGCACUGUCACCUCCUGGGGAUGGGAUUCUGGCAGCGUCCAUCGAGGGCUCACACCCUUUUCUCCCUUUAACAGGUGAUGUGGUCUGGAUGGCCAAGAAGGGCUGGAGGAGAGCCCAGGCAUUGUCUGAAAUGUGGGCAGGGUCUGGGCAUGUCCCCUUCCUGUCCCCAGGGUAAAUGCUUACUUACUCUGUCCCAUCACUGGACCCUGGGGGUCCAGAGCUGCUACCACUGAGCCCGAGGCACCGAGGGACAAGGCCUGCAGCAAAAGGAGGUGAAAAGGAAAAACAACAAGUAUAUUAAAGGUGUUGAAAGCCUACAGCAGAAUCUCAGCCGGUCUCUCUUGUGUUGCUGAUGUUGGAGUGGAAUUUUCC